This 458-nucleotide ribosomal RNA is filed under the name uncultured bacterium. RNAcentral's name for it is "partial 16S ribosomal RNA". It matches the Rfam family "Bacterial small subunit ribosomal RNA", at positions 338 to 795 of the family's 1533-position model. The record is from RNAcentral.
CCUACGGGUGGCAGCAGUAAGGAAUAUUGGUCAAUGGGCGAGAGCCUGAACCAGCCAAGUCGCGUGAGGGAGUACUGCCCUAUGGGUUGUAAACCUCUUUUGUCGGGGAGAAAAAGCCGGACGUGUCCGGCUGUGAGAGUACCCGAAGAAAAAACAUCGGCUAACUCCGUGCCAGCAGCCGCGGUAAUACGGAGGAUGCGAGCGUUAUCCGGAUUUAUUGGGUUUAAAGGGUGCGCAGGCGGAUUUUUAAGUCAGCGAUAUAAUCGUGGGGGUCAACCCCAUACAGCCUGUGAAACUGGGGAUCUUGAGUGUGCGCGAGGUAUGCGGAAUGCGUGGUGGAGCGGUGAAAUGCAUAGAUAUCACGCAGAACCCCGAUUGCUAAGGCAGCAUACCGGUGCACAACUGACGCUCAGGCACGAAAGCGUGGGUAUCGAACAGGAUUAGAUACCCCUGUAGUC